Molecule: non-coding RNA, 382 nt
Organism: Schizosaccharomyces pombe (fission yeast)
Lineage: Eukaryota; Fungi; Ascomycota; Schizosaccharomycetes; Schizosaccharomycetales; Schizosaccharomycetaceae
Source: the annotation of a GenBank genome assembly
UAAAAGAAUUGCAUGAACCGUAAUGCCUUAACUUAAAGGUGUCAAUAAACAUUAGCGUAUUUACCUUACUAUAUAUUUCAAGUCAUGGAGGAUAUAUGUUGUAAAUAAACUUGACAGAAUCUUUAAAAACGCAAGGAUCUUGAGUUGCAUUCCUUGCCAUUGCAUUGGCAAAUUUUGAAAUAACACUUAUAGUACGCAAAGACGACCAGGCUGCCUUCGUGUUAGAUUUUUGAUAAAGCGAUCUUUCUUCUUAUUUAAAUAAGCACUGCUAAAGACUACAUACCUUGUAACUCCAUUUGUCGUUAUUUCAAUUUAUUCAGACCGGAUGUUUUCCUGAAUUGAAAAUUAAACAAAAUUGCAGUCUAACUCUUUAAUUAUUUGA